GUGGGGAAUCUUGCGCAAUGGGCGAAAGCCUGACGCAGCCAUGCCGCGUGAAUGAUGAAGGUCUUAGGAUUGUAAAAUUCUUUCACCGGGGACGAUAAUGACGGUACCCGGAGAAGAAGCCCCGGCUAACUUCGUGCCAGCAGCCGCGGUAAUACGAAGGGGGCUAGCGUUGCUCGGAAUUACUGGGCGUAAAGGGCGCGUAGGCGGACAGUUUAGUCAGAGGUGAAAGCCCAGGGCUCAACCUUGGAAUUGCCUUUGAUACUGGCUGUCUUGAGUACGGGAGAGGUGAGUGGAACUCCGAGUGUAGAGGUGAAAUUCGUAGAUAUUCGGAAGAACACCAGUGGCGAAGGCGACUCACUGGCCCGUUACUGACGCUGAGGCGCGAAAGCGCGGGUAGCAAACAGGAUUAGAAACCCGGGUAGUCC
Molecule: ribosomal RNA, 425 nt
Filed under: uncultured bacterium
Lineage: Bacteria
Description: partial 16S ribosomal RNA
Rfam family: Bacterial small subunit ribosomal RNA
Source: RNAcentral